GACGAACGCUGGCGGCGUGCUUAACACAUGCAAGUCGAACGGGUCUGCCCUGUUUUUUGCGGGGUGGGUCAGUGGCGAACGGGUGAGUAACACGUGAGUAACCUGCCCCUCACUUCUGGAUAACCGCUUGAAAGGGUGGCUAAUACGGGGUGUUCUGGCUGUGCCGCAUGGUGUGGCUGGGAAAGAUUCACUUUUGUGGUGUUUUGGUGGGGGAUGGGCUCGCGGCCUAUCAGCUUGUUGGUGGGGUGAUGGCCUGCCAAGGCUUUGACGGGUAGCCGGCCUGGGAGGGUGGGCGGUCACACUGGGGCUGAGAUACGGCCCAGACUCCUGCGGGAGGCAGCAGGGGGGGGUAUUGCACAAUGGGCGGAAGCCUGAUGCAGCGACGUCGCGUGAGGGAUGGAGGCCUUCGGGUUGUGAACCUCUUUCGCCGGUGAAGAAGGUCCUGCUCUUUGUGGUGGGGUUGACGGUAGCCGGGUUAUGAAGCGCCGGCUAACUACGUG
RNAcentral lists this ribosomal RNA (500 nucleotides) under uncultured bacterium. RNAcentral's name for it is "partial 16S ribosomal RNA". It matches the Rfam family "Bacterial small subunit ribosomal RNA", at positions 28 to 507 of the family's 1533-position model. The record is from RNAcentral.